CCUAGAACUUGUUUUCUUUUUUUCAUCCUCCUGCCAAUUUAGCAAUGCUUUUUUAAUUCCUUAUUUCUGUUUAUUCCUCAAGACUCCUACGGUGAGUAUUUUAGUAACAGUUAGCUGAGGUUAGUCACAUCAGUCUUGGUAACCAGAUCUGUCUAUGUGCUGCUCCCAGGGAAGUGUGAUACUGCUGUUUAUGGAGUGUUGGGAGGUCCUCUCCAGGCACCUGAGGAGAAUCAGCACUCAGGCUCUGUGUGUACCCCUCUCCUCAUACUCAGGCAGCCAUCCGAGCACUGAUCUUAGAUCUACUUACUGGUACCCAAGGAGUAAAUACUGUGAAGUAUCCUCUGACAAUGGAAUUAGAUGCAUCAUUCAACAGGCAUGCUGAGCUGAUCAUUUGGACAAAAUACAUCUUGGCCUUCACAAAGGGAGUGCAUUAGGGGUCAGGAAGUGACUCCUCAUGGUGUUCCAGUGAACUGACGACUGAAUAGUUUGUGAAACAGCAAGCAUUUACCACUGUUGGAGGCAGUCUACUAGACAAGGUAAUUAAUCUAGUUACUUAUUUUUACAGUAUGCAAUAUGGCAAAUUGCAUAUUCCUACGUCUUACCUUUUUGAUUGGUUUUGAAGAAUUCAUCACUUGUGUACGUGUUGCUUUCUAAAGUUCUUUCUCCAUUGCUAAUCUGUGGAAAGCGUUUGUUAACAUCCCUUUCCUCCCCAUUUUUGAGUGUGCAUGAGAUGCAGUAUGAGAAAUGCUAAUGAAAAUCCUUUCACAGCAUGCAACUGAAGGUCAUGUGUAAGAGCCUGGUUCUUUCUCUUUUUCUCCUUAUGAAUGAAAAUAUUGUUCUAACGUAGCAUACCAAAAAUGAAUUUCCAGAUGAAAAGUGCACAUUAUUACUGCCAACCUUAGCAGAGGGAGAUAUCUAGCUACUCAUAUUCAACCUAAUGAGAAACUCCUUUCAACACUAUUAGAAACCCCAAGAUUUUUAUCUUUUUCCUAAGAAAGAGGAGAUAAUUAUCCUUGGACGUUUUAACAGAUUGCCAGUGUUUUAGGGUUUUUAAACUAGAACAAAUGUGCAUUCCUAUUGCUUUAUGAGAUGUAAUUCUUAAUAAGAUGUAACUCUUCUAGAAAACAAAAAUACUGAAUGAUGUUUUAUUUUCUUGGGGGGUGGAAGAGGUGUGUUUUUACUAACCAAGGUUUUGUAAUCUGAAUGCUCAAUAUGAGGGCUUACUAACCCAUUUUUACCCAGUAACAGAGUGAUUUGCAUUGUCAUUAUAUGCUUGCAAUUAAACCAAUGGCUAGAAACCAAGAAAUAAAUUGAGUGCCAACUGAUGAAAAAUAAGAAAUAAACUUUCACUAGUAUUUCCAUUGAUGCACGUAUUCUAACAAGGAAGUUUAGGUUGGGCUCUUUGGAACUCUGGUCACAAUACCUGGGUAUUGAAAAUAGCUUUUUUCUUAGUCCCCACAGAAAGCUGUAAGGUGAUAAGAACUGAUAUUGGGAAAGGAAUUUCCUUGCAGCUGCAGUGCAGAUCUUGCACAGUAUACUCAGACAAUAAUGAAAAUAAACUAUUUUGUGUGUUAUCUUAGGUAUUGUCACUGUCAGAUUCAUGGUACCAGACUUGAUGGCCUGAUCAUCUCACAAAGUAACAAGCAAUAUAUUCUUGUCACAUACAUCAUCAUUUCAUCCUAAUUUAAUUGUCUUCCAAGUGAAAAUUCUUCUAAAAUAUUUUCUAUAUUUUCAUCUUUAAUUGGCUUGUACGAUGUUAUUUGGUAACCAAGUAUUGUUUAUGUACAUAG
This is a long non-coding RNA of Anas platyrhynchos (mallard), 1790 nucleotides long. RefSeq lists it as uncharacterized. The record is from RefSeq and is a predicted model, not a curated record. NCBI's taxonomy places the organism in Eukaryota, Metazoa, Chordata, Aves, Anseriformes, Anatidae.